RNAcentral lists this long non-coding RNA (296 nucleotides) under Bos indicus x Bos taurus (hybrid cattle). RNAcentral's name for it is "lncRNA (ENSBIXG00005010215.1)". The record is from RNAcentral. Lineage: Eukaryota; Metazoa; Chordata; Mammalia; Artiodactyla; Bovidae.
AUUUGGAGUGAUUUGCCUCUUUCUUUGGUCUUUCUUUACCCUCCAUGACCAGGGACCAGCUUCAGGGUUCACUUGGGGAGCUCCUGAGGUUGUGAGCCAGCAGUGCCCUUCAGGAGUGCAGACAACCAAAGAAUAGAAAUGUUUCCAUUGUCUCCCCUCUGCUUUUUCAUCUCCCCCAUUACCUGACACAUUCCAAGGUGUUGAUAUCAAUCAUGUAAGUGAUAACUAUUGCUUUUCCUUCUUCCUAAUGAAAGAGAAAUAGCAGUAUAUAUUAUUUAAAUAUGAACAAUGUUUGC